Molecule: small RNA, 3082 nt
Filed under: Pongo abelii (Sumatran orangutan)
Lineage: Eukaryota; Metazoa; Chordata; Mammalia; Primates; Hominidae
Description: processed transcript
Source: RNAcentral
AUAUAGCCCCUGGCCGAAGACAGCCUCCAGGCAGUGCUCCCUGAGCUAUGUACUGUCUUUCUCUUCUUGCAGGGUUAAAACACCAAGAAAAAAGAAGCAUUAAUGAGAUGCUGUCAGACAGACAUCUCCAGAGAGACAAUCUUCAUGCACAGGUGAGGGGCAGGACCACCAGCUGCUCUAAGGGGUCCUUUCUCUUCCAGGGAGAAGCAGCCCAGCCCUGCUGGGGUGGGUCAGGGAUUCAGUGUUGGAGCUCUCGUGGUCCUGGGAGCUGCUGGGGCCUGUGGGUAGGAUAGAGCCUCUGCCUUCAGGAACCCACAGUCUGAUGAAAGAGACAGAGCCAUGUCCUCAGGGAGCUCCCAGCCUAAUGAGGGAGACCUGGCCCCAGUCUGGGGCAAUGACCUAUUUUCACAGAAGCAAAUCUGAGCCUCUCAUCUGAGAAGUCUGGUGAAAUGCGAGAGACAUGGUGGGGAAAUAGGACCUUGCGGGGCCCAGAGGUGGGGUGGGGUGGGGUGGGUAAGAGUCAGGGGGAUUCUGUGAGAACAGGUAAGCAAGGUGUCAGGAAGGGGCAGGGCUCACCCCAAGGAUAAAAGGUGCCUGUCCUGUGCAAGGUGAAGGGGCUAGCACAGACUCGGUGCUCAGUUAAUGGGAGAAGGCCCCUUACCCCUUCCCAGUGGUGCCCAGCACGCUGGGACAGUGUGUUGUACUGACAAGAACAUUUGCAUCCAGAAACUGCCUGGGUUCAAACCCCAGCUUUGGCACAUCCUAGCGGUGUGCACUUGAGCAGGUUGCCUGAGCCUCAGUUUCCCCCGGACAGCAAUGGCUUCUAUUGCACAAAGCUGUUGUGAGGCUUCAAGGAGCUAGCGGGCCCAGAGGGCUCCACACGGGCCCGGCGCACAGUGGGUGCUUGGCCAGUGUUAUGCUCUUCCUAGUCCUGGGCUGCCCAGCUGCCUCCUUCCCCAGAAAUGCAUUGACUGGAACCGUAAUGUGCUGAAGCGGGAACUGGGCCUGGCAGAGAGUGACAUCGUGGACAUUCCCCAGCUCUUCCUCCUGAAAAACUUCUACGCAGAAGCCUUCUUCCCAGACAUGGUUAACAUGGUGGUCUUAGGCAAGUACCUGGGCAUCCCCAAGCCCUACGGGCCCAUCAUCAAUGGCCGCUGCUGCCUGGAGGAGAAGGUGCAGUCCCUGCUGGAGCCUCUGGGCCUGCACUGCAUCUUCAUUGAUGACUACUUGUCCUACCACGAGCUGCAGGGGGAGAUCCACUGUGGCACCAACGUGCGCAGGAAGCCCUUUCCCUUCAAAUGGUGGAACAUGGUGCCCUGAGCCUGCCCCCACCCGCCAUCCUCUCUGCCCUCUUGCUGGGGAACCCCGCCAGGGUGAGGGCAAGGAACAACCACCUGGCCUCCAUUCUCUUGGGGGAGUCUUGGCACUUUGCAAACAUCCUGGCCACCGUGGGCACCAGGACACAGGGAUGGAUACCACCUACCCUCGCCUCUGGAAUGGCCUACCCAACCCAAGAAGAAUGCACCUCAUUCUUCCCUCGCCUCUUUCCCACCCACAGCCCCCAGAGGCUCUAGAUCAACAAUGUUAGCAUGUUCAAGAAUGGCUGUGGGUGGCCUAGGGAGAUGGGCCCCACUUAGAAUUGCUCCCCUUUCAUUCUGAUACCUCCCUGGGGAACAAGGAUAAUGACUUUGCAUCUGCACCAGGAACGGGGCCCGGGGGACCUGGGGUCUGGUGUGCCAGGCACCAGGCUGCCUCUGCUCUUGGAAAACCAGGAAAGGAGAUCAGAAACAUCCUCUCCCGCUUCCAGGUUUCUUCUCCCAAAGGGGACCCAAGGCUGUGACACUUACUCCACCCCCAUCCAGCACCCUUCAGCUGUGUGUGGACAAACAAGGACAGAAAAACCCAGUGUCCAAGGGCCAAUUUAAAUAGAAAAAAAGACAACAAAAUUUUAAUAACUGACUCCGACCUCAGAAGAGUGAUUGCUACCUUUCUGGAAAGACUUUAAUUACCAGAGCUGGUUUCUCCCAGCUCAGAAAUGCUGACAGGCCAACGUGAGGCCUGAGGACACACAAAGGAUGACGGGGCAGGAGGGGAUGAGGUCAGGAUGAAAGAGUGUGUGACGACGGAUUUGGGGGCCUAGAGGUGUCCGUGGUUCCUGGGCUGGGAUUUUGGACUCUGGAUUUGAAGGGAGCUGGAGCUUCCAGAUAUAGCAGGGGUAGGGGGCCAGAUGUUAGAAGAGGGUGUGUGUGUUGGGAGGAAAUUAGGUUAUCUUUGAAGGUGGAGUUUAAUUUCCUUUAAUAGUCUUUAAUUAUUCCCCUUCAUUCUGCAGGCAGUGGGAGGGGAAGGCUUGCCCGGUCUCUCUCAGCAACCCAGGGACCCUGCACAUAUAGCUUGGGUUUCAUCCCUGAAUAAACCGCUGUGGCAGGCCCAUGUCCCCUCCCAUAAUAGGGAAGACAGCUGCCACAGGAGGUUAAUAGCCCUGAGUGAGGUCACUGAGACAUGCACAGGCAGGCUGGUUCAGCUGGGCUGCAGGGCACAGGCAGGAGGAAGCCAGCCUACCCUCUUCCCCCACUGCCAGUGAGGCCAUUAUAGGGCAGUUGGCCCUAGGGCCUCGGUCCAUCUAGGUUUUCCCUGGCCCCUGCUGAGACCUCACACUAAGCCAACUACUGUCACUCUUUUAACCAACAAAAGCUAGCCUGGAACUGCUAUGGUUAAAGUGGGUGAGCAGGAACAUGAAAAUUCCCUUCUGGAAGGUUCUACAGAACCCCAUUUGCAAGCUCCUGCUUUAACCUGAGUGUCCUCUGCUCAGGAUCAUACCCCAGGCUGCAGUGAGUCAAGAAGGAGAAGAAGGCUCUGAAGGGCCGGGGGUGUGAGCUGGGGUUGGGAUUCCCCUGAGAAAGAGCUGUGGGUAGGAAGGGAGUGCGCAUUGCAGAGCUAGGGCUGGGGGUCGGGGCCACACUGAGUGUGGGAAGCUCUGGAGUUGCUGCUGGGCCAUCGAGGGGCCCUGAUGUUGACUCUGAGAAUGUUCUGGGUGACCAGUCACCUCCUUUCUGAUCAAUAAAAGUGUCGACAUGCAUUUCUU